ACACCUCAACUCUCAUGGUUUGCCGUGAUGAGCUUGGACUUUGGAGGUCUUGCCGGCCUGUGGUCGGCUCCUCUCAAAUGGAUCAGCUUGCCAGUGUUUGGUGGCAUCAUGGGUGUGAUAACUAUCUACGCCUGUGGUUUUCCACUGGAUAACCUUCAGUGAUGGAGGUUCGCUGGAGCUCAUAAAUGUCUCUCCUCAGUGAAGACAGCUUUUUGAAC
This 218-nucleotide unclassified non-coding RNA is filed under the name uncultured Tomentella. RNAcentral's name for it is "sequence contains ITS2". Lineage: Eukaryota; Fungi; Basidiomycota; Agaricomycetes; Thelephorales; Thelephoraceae. The record is from RNAcentral.